Molecule: ribosomal RNA, 774 nt
Filed under: uncultured Neocallimastigales
Lineage: Eukaryota; Fungi; Neocallimastigomycota; Neocallimastigomycetes; Neocallimastigales
Description: partial large subunit ribosomal RNA
Rfam family: Eukaryotic large subunit ribosomal RNA
Source: RNAcentral
CGCAUCUGUGCAUGCAGCAUAUCAAUAAGCGGAGGAAAAGAUACUAACAAGGAUUCCCCUAGUAACGGCGAGUGAAGCGGGAAGAGCUCAAAUUUGAAAUCUUAAAGGGUUUCCCUUUACGAAUUGUAGUUUAAAGAAGUGUUUUCUGUUGAGGUUUUGGUAAAAGUUCUUUGGAAUAGGACAUCAUAGAGGGUGAGAAUCCCGUAUUUGACCUUUACUUUCAACUUUGUGAUACACUUUCAAAGAGUCGGAUUGUUUGGGAAUGCAGUCCAAAAUGGGUGGUAAAUUUCAUCUAAAGCUAAAUAUUGGCGAGAGACCGAUAGCGAACAAGUACCGUGAGGGAAAGAUGAAAAGAACUUUGAAAAGAGAGUUAAACAGUACGUGAAAUUGUCAAAAGGGAAGCGUUUGACACCAGUGUUGUUUUUCUGAAAAUCAAUUAAAGAACUGUUUAUGCUAAGUUGUUUAGACUUUAUCAGCUAACUGUUUAGUUUUGAGCUUUUCUUUAAUGCACUUUUCAGUUAACAAGUCAACAUCAAUUUCUUUUGCUGUAAAAAAGCUUGAGGAAGGUGGCUUGAGAUUCGUCUUAAGUGUUUAUAGCCUCUUGCCUAUGCAGUCGGAGAGAUUGAGGUCUGCAGCGUAGAUCCUUCGGGGCUAAAUGCAUUUGUGCUAAGUUAUAGCAUUUUAUAGACAACUUGUUGACUAUGAUUUGUCUUGUAGCUUACUCGCUUAUGUUAUUUUACCUACGCUUAGGAUGUUGACAGCAGUAUAGACUGU